AUCACUUCUUGGCCUUUUGGCUAAGAUCAAAUGCAGUUCUAAUAGGUGUGUGUGUGUAAUCUUUAGGGUUUUCUACAUAUAAGAUCUUGUCAUGUGAGGAAAAAAGGCAAUUUACUCCUUCAUUUCCAGUUUAGAUGCCUUUUAUUUC
Macaca fascicularis (crab-eating macaque) is the source of this 148-nucleotide small nuclear RNA. Its record names the gene U2. It matches the Rfam family "U2 spliceosomal RNA". From Rfam's summary of the family: U2 is a small nuclear RNA (snRNA) component of the spliceosome (involved in pre-mRNA splicing). Complementary binding between U2 snRNA (in an area lying towards the 5' end but 3' to hairpin I) and the branchpoint sequence (BPS) of the intron results the bulging out of an unpaired adenosine, on the BPS, which initiates a nucleophilic attack at the intronic 5' splice site, thus starting the first of two transesterification reactions that mediate splicing. The record is from Ensembl. NCBI's taxonomy places the organism in Eukaryota, Metazoa, Chordata, Mammalia, Primates, Cercopithecidae.